UACGGAGGGUGCAAGCGUUAAUCGGAAUUACUGGGCAUAAGGCGCACGCAGGCGGUCUGUCAAGUCGGAUGUGAAAUCCCCGGGCUCAACCUGGGAACUGCAUCCGAAACUGGCAAGCUAGAGUCUUGGAGAGGGGAGUGGAAUUCCAGGUGUAGCGGUGAAAUGCGUAGAGAUCUGGAGGAACAUCAGUGGCGAAGGCGGCUCCCUGGCCAAAGACUGACGCUCAGGUGCGAAAGCGUGGGGAGCAAACAGG
This 253-nucleotide unclassified non-coding RNA is filed under the name uncultured Enterobacteriaceae bacterium. Its description in RNAcentral is "contains 16S-23S intergenic spacer region". It matches the Rfam family "Bacterial small subunit ribosomal RNA", at positions 524 to 776 of the family's 1533-position model. The record is from RNAcentral. Lineage: Bacteria; Pseudomonadati; Pseudomonadota; Gammaproteobacteria; Enterobacterales; Enterobacteriaceae.